This 772-nucleotide small RNA is filed under the name Schizosaccharomyces pombe (fission yeast). RNAcentral's name for it is "small heterochromatic RNA precursor". Lineage: Eukaryota; Fungi; Ascomycota; Schizosaccharomycetes; Schizosaccharomycetales; Schizosaccharomycetaceae. The record is from RNAcentral.
UAUCAAGGUCCAUAUCAAUGUCCAUAUCAAUUUCCCAUGUUCCAUUACAUAUCCCGUGUUCUUUCCUUCUUCCAGCUUUUACAUGCUAGCCUUUUAUACAAUGAUUCCUCUCAUCUCGACUCGUUUGAUGAAUGGGCGUUUAGUUUUUGCAACAACAUAUGCGUUGGGUUAUCUCAUAUCGGGAAACACUUUCUGCCACUUUUAACUUGAACAAAGUUGGAGAAAUAAAGUGAUGGCAGAUAUUGCAAGUUGUUUAUAGUGUGCCUGUAGAAAUGUAAAAACGCUAUGUUUCGUGAAUGCCCAGCCUGUAAAUCGAAAUAAGAUUUCGUAUUUAUUAAGCAUUGGAAGAUCACAAUUGUGACUUUGUGGGUUUCGUAAAGAACAUCAUAUAGAUUUCUUUGACCAAGUGUAAUAAAGCAAAACACACGGACAUAGUAUGGAUAUGGACACAGCAUGGGUAUGGACACAAGCAACACUACCAGUCGUUUGAAACGAUGAAAUGGGCAACAAGUCGAUUUGUUUUUCAUCUAUCAAUCGUUGUAAUUCACAUGCAGCUACAAGACGACACGUUAUAUUUAGGGUGCAAAGCAGGUAGAGAUUUCAUAGGCAUAUUUCGAAGUACCAGCUUUAUGCCAAAACAUGCAUGCAUGCAAGAAACUCCCNUAACUUCGUUUGCGCAACUCCUGCUUAUCGUCUUCUUUCUAUACCCAUACUGNUGGGAUCAAUGAAUGAACGUAGCAAUAGAUACAAGAUNUAGCGCCAACNUUUUGAG